RNAcentral lists this ribosomal RNA (502 nucleotides) under uncultured bacterium. RNAcentral's name for it is "partial 16S ribosomal RNA". It matches the Rfam family "Bacterial small subunit ribosomal RNA", at positions 899 to 1397 of the family's 1533-position model. The record is from RNAcentral.
ACUCAAAUGAAUUGACGGGGGCCCGCACAAGCGGUGGAGUAUGUGGUUUAAUUCGACGCUACGCGCAGAACCUUACCAACCUUUGACAUGUCCACUAUGGGUUUGAGAGAUCAGAUCCUUCACUUCGGGUGGGUGGAACACAGGUGCUGCAUGGCUGUCGUCAGCUCGUGUCGUGAGAUGUUGGGUUAAGUCCCGCAACGAGCGCAACCCCCAUCUUUAGUUGCCAUCAGGUUAUGCUGGGCACUCUAGAGAAACCGCCGGUGACAAGCCGGAGGAAGGCGGGGAUGACGUCAAGUCCUCAUGGCCCUUACAGGUUGGGCUACACACGUACUACAAUGACAGUGACAAUGGGAUGCGAUCCUGCAAGGGUGAGCCGACCUCAAAAAGCUGUCUCAGUUCGGAUUGUCCUCUGCAACUCGAGGGCAUGAAGCUGGAAUCGCUAGUAAUCGCGCAACAGCAUGGCGCGGUGAAUACGUUCCCGGGCCUUGUACACACCGCCCGU